Molecule: small RNA, 202 nt
Filed under: Xenorhabdus beddingii
Lineage: Bacteria; Pseudomonadati; Pseudomonadota; Gammaproteobacteria; Enterobacterales; Morganellaceae
Description: Manganese sequence
Rfam family: Manganese Mn2+ riboswitch aptamer (yybP-ykoY)
About the family: This RNA was originally discovered in E. coli during a large scale screen and was named SraF. The family was later found to exist upstream of related families of protein genes in many bacteria, including the the yybP and ykoK genes in B. subtilis.
Source: RNAcentral
CCUCCAGUCAUUGGGGAGUAGCCUGUUCCAGACAGUUUCUGGAAAAUUCGUAUCAACAUGCUCGUUUGAAACAAAACGUGGUACGAAUGCCUAAAGAGCCGAAUAAAAUAGCGGCUUCGAGUUGGUUGGCAAGACCAUAGACACAUAACUGCACCACAGGUUGGGGGUGAGUUGUGUGUAUAUGGAAUCACCCAACCGAGGC